Molecule: long non-coding RNA, 656 nt
Organism: Drosophila miranda
Lineage: Eukaryota; Metazoa; Arthropoda; Insecta; Diptera; Drosophilidae
Exons: 2
Source: RefSeq, a predicted model, not a curated record
AAAUAUUACAAAUAUUAUAAGCAGCAAAAGAAAAACAAAAACAACAAUAUAAUCAAUUUAAACGACAAACAAAUCGAAAGAUCUUAACUAUACAUCCAAUAGGCGGUCAUCAUAUAUACAUAUAUAUAUAUAUAUAUAUUCUUAUAGUACAUAUUAAUCAACGAUUUUCAAUCAAACAAUCCAUCAAUCAAGCCAACAAUCAAGCGAGCAUUAUGCAUACAUACACACAUCUCUAUUUAUAAAUAAAUAUACUUUAAAAAACAUACUCAGAAGCUGCUGUGGAAAGGUCAGGUCCUGUGUAAACCAUCAAGUAUUAUUAGCACCUAACAACAAAAACCGAACUCAGACUUGGAAAACACUCUCAGAAAAACACUCUCAGAGCCGAAAGAAAGACAGCGAGAGAGAAAGAGAGAGAGCGAUCACAUCCAAAAACUCAGUCGGAAAACUCAUCUCAGCCUCAACGGAAAAAGCCUCAACACACACAAAAAAUAAAGAGAAAUAUAUACAUAUAUUUUGAGAGAAAGUGAAAGAGAAAGAGAUAUAUAUAUAUAUAUAUACAGUAAGGAUAUCUGGAAGGAACUGUGUGGCAGGUAUAUAGGGACAACGCUAAGGAUAACGAUAACGUAAGGACUAAGGACAACAAAUCUAGGAUACAA